RNAcentral lists this microRNA (20 nucleotides) under Populus tomentosa. RNAcentral describes it as "pto-smR2". Lineage: Eukaryota; Viridiplantae; Streptophyta; Magnoliopsida; Malpighiales; Salicaceae. The record is from RNAcentral.
UUUUUGUACGUAAUGGAAUU